UGUAUCUGAAGUCUGACGAGGAUGAGAACCUCCGGGGGCAAGAGGUUCGACCCGAGCGAAGCGAGAGAACGUUGCGUCAGCAACGGCCCGCAGGGCGAGCCACGCAGUGGCGAGUCAUCCUCUAUCACCGGCA
RNAcentral lists this small RNA (133 nucleotides) under Salmonella enterica. Its description in RNAcentral is "RtT RNA". It matches the Rfam family "RtT RNA". Rfam says of the family: This family represents a bacterial cis-regulatory element known as RtT RNA. The exact function of RtT is unknown although it is thought that it may be involved in changing the cellular response in relation to amino acid starvation. RNAcentral also lists the same sequence under 1 other name. The record is from RNAcentral. Lineage: Bacteria; Pseudomonadati; Pseudomonadota; Gammaproteobacteria; Enterobacterales; Enterobacteriaceae.